GGUCCGGUAGCUCCGCUGGAAAGAGCAUCUGCGGUGUAAGCAGACGAGCAUGCGGUCGAAUCGCAUCCGGAUCA
Molecule: transfer RNA, 74 nt
Filed under: Duncaniella sp.
Lineage: Bacteria; Pseudomonadati; Bacteroidota; Bacteroidia; Bacteroidales; Muribaculaceae
Description: tRNA-Thr
Source: RNAcentral